GUGAAUCAUCAAAUCUUUGAACGCAAAUUGCACUCUCCUCGGAGAGUAUGCCUGUUUGAUGGUUAGCCUAUAAACAUCGACAUCUUUGCUCUUUCGCUUUGGCGUUCGUCGGAAAUUGGGUCAUCUUAAUUCCUUUUGUUUUAAGUGACUUAUUAUUUUCUUUUGGUUCCAUGAACGUUUCUUAUAUUUAGUUCUUUACACGUUUACGCUAUCUAUUUUUAUUAGACGCUACCAUCAUAUCGGAUCGC
Molecule: unclassified non-coding RNA, 248 nt
Filed under: Glomeraceae sp.
Lineage: Eukaryota; Fungi; Glomeromycota; Glomeromycetes; Glomerales; Glomeraceae
Description: partial contains 5.8S ribosomal RNA and internal transcribed spacer 2
Rfam family: 5.8S ribosomal RNA (bases 1-65)
Source: RNAcentral